RNAcentral lists this long non-coding RNA (462 nucleotides) under Monodelphis domestica (gray short-tailed opossum). Its description in RNAcentral is "lncRNA (ENSMODG00000037794.1)". The record is from RNAcentral. Lineage: Eukaryota; Metazoa; Chordata; Mammalia; Didelphimorphia; Didelphidae.
UAUAUGUUGUCUCAAAAAUUUUACUGCAAAUUUAAGCUGUGGAAAUAAACUUAUACACCCUUUAUCUGAUAUCUCAGUAUUCCUUCACCACAAACCUCUGAAACAGUCACUCUUGUUAUUUUUAUCUUCUUUUCACAGAUGAGAAUACUGAGGCUCAGAUGAUUUAAUUGACUUGACUCUCCUCCUAUCAGUCCUGCUGAUUCUAAGUCCAGCACUCAUCUUCUAUCUUCUAAUCUUUUUUAGUAAAUCAUUUCAGCACUUGACUUUUGAAGAGGAAAAUAUAUUUGAAUCUUAGAAGUAUCCCUCCAUCAUUUUGGACAUUUCAACAUGGACAAAAAAAUGAGACUUCUUCACCCUUGAGAUAAUUAUGAUUACUACUUUCCUCUUCUCCAGCAAUUCAACAAAUAUGAAUUAAAUCUCUUCUAUAUGCAAAGAACUAUGGCGCUUGAUAAUAAGUAUGUG